CCCUUCGUGGUGUAACGGUUAGCACACUCGGCGCGUAUUCGAGAGGUUCAGGGUUCAAUUCCCAGCGAAGGCA
RNAcentral lists this transfer RNA (73 nucleotides) under Stegodyphus mimosarum. It matches the Rfam family "tRNA". Rfam says of the family: Transfer RNA (tRNA) molecules are approximately 80 nucleotides in length. Lineage: Eukaryota; Metazoa; Arthropoda; Arachnida; Araneae; Eresidae. The record is from Rfam by way of RNAcentral.